GAUGAACGCUGGCGGCGUGCCUAACACAUGCAAGUCGAACGGAACUAUUUUGGAAACUCCUUCGGGAGCGGAAUCUUUAGUUUAGUGGCGGACGGGUGAGUAACGCGUGAGCAAUCUGCCUUUAAGAGGGGGAUAACAGUCGGAAACGGCUGCUAAUACCGCAUAAAGCAUCAAAUUCGCAUGUUUUUGAUGCCAAAGGAGCAAUCCGCUUUUAGAUGAGCUCGCGUCUGAUUAGCUGGUUGGCGGGGUAACGGCCCACCAAGGCGACGAUCAGUAGCCGGACUGAGAGGUUGAACGGCCACAUUGGGACUGAGACACGGCCCAGACUCCUACGGGAGGCAGCAGUGGGGAAUAUUGCGCAAUGGGGGAAACCCUGACGCAGCAACGCCGCGUGAUUGAAGAAGGCCUUCGGGUUGUAAAGAUCUUUAAUCAGGGACGAAACAAAUGACGGUAC
Molecule: ribosomal RNA, 454 nt
Filed under: uncultured bacterium
Lineage: Bacteria
Description: bacterial SSU rRNA
Rfam family: Bacterial small subunit ribosomal RNA
Source: RNAcentral